GCUUUACUGUAACUUGAAAUUGAAGUUGGACUUUACUUGCGCAGUAUAGGUGGGAGGCGUUGAGAAUAUUCUUGCGGGAAUAUUGGAGCCAUCAGUGARAUACCACUCUGGUAAUGUUAGAUUUCUAACUUUGCAUCAUUAUCUGGUCAAAGAACAGUUUCAGGCGGGCAGUUUGACUGGGGCGGUCGCCUCCUAAASGGUAACGGAGGCGCACAAAGGUUUCCUCUGAACGGGUAGAAAUCGUAUCUAGAGUGUAAAGGCAUAAGGAAGCUUGACUGUGAGACCUACAAGUCGAGCAGGGACGAAAGUCGGUCUUAGUGAUCUGACGGUGCUGAGUGGAAAGGCCGUCACUCAACGGAUAAAAGUUA
This 368-nucleotide ribosomal RNA is filed under the name Bacillariophyceae sp. 3 AS-2014. RNAcentral describes it as "bacterial LSU rRNA". It matches the Rfam family "Bacterial large subunit ribosomal RNA", at positions 2098 to 2465 of the family's 2925-position model. The record is from RNAcentral. Lineage: Eukaryota; Bacillariophyta; Bacillariophyceae.